This 1331-nucleotide long non-coding RNA is filed under the name Salmo salar (Atlantic salmon). RNAcentral's name for it is "lncRNA (ENSSSAG00000093792.1, ENSSSAG00075067524.1)". The record is from RNAcentral. Lineage: Eukaryota; Metazoa; Chordata; Actinopteri; Salmoniformes; Salmonidae.
CGGUAGAGGGCAAGUAACUACUAACCACCACUCUAUGCAACACGACGGCAACAUCUCGCUUCCAGGACCUUAACCAUACUCUCUCAUUAACACAGGCAAAUACACACAGACACACACUCAGGCCACAAGUUGAGAGAGCUGCCAUACACGGACACACUCAGAGAGACUCCAUACUCUCUCUAGUACGUUCAUGACAGUGGGUUCUCUUGCCCUGAGUGACCCCACACAUUUUACACAUUCAAUAAUACAUACACACAGUGGGAAUUUGCAAAGCUCCAGACAGAGGAAAAGCUGUGGAUUUGGACAUGGAUCUGCUUCUGUAUCCUGUCCCUCUGCUGAGUGUGUUUCUCCUCAUUCCAGCAGUUUCAGCCCAAUCUGCCAUCAAUCAGACCAACCAGAUAGAGGUUUCCAUGGUGACCUCACCCACAACACUGUCAUCCAACACUAUUCAUGUGGCUGGCAGCGUAACCACCCCAACUACAGCCCAUCCAAUGACUGAUGUGACAUCAUCCCCAGCACUCUCACCGCCAGGAAAUGACAGCAGUGACAAUGAGGCACCCACAUCCUCACUUCGACUAUCGUGUCCUAAUGUCAGAAGCUCUGCUCAGACUAAAAUACCUAGUACGCACUCACAAGACACUGCUGCUGGACCAGUCUUAGGAUCAACAGCUGCUGCAACAGCAACUACUUCGACCUCUGUGACUUCCCCUGAGGGACCCAAAGGGACACACACAGACAUCCCUCCCACUCAGUCACCGGACAAGAGCCUCACCAUGCUCGCCUUUGGUGUCAUGAGUUUAAUCCUCAUUCUCGUCAUUAUCAUGGUGGUUUUAGUAACAGUGGUCAACCUAAAAGACAAGUGCAGCAACUCCAAGGAGGAAGGUAAAAAGAGCAGUGAUUCUGUGGUGUCUGAAAGCAAUGUCACGUUUAGUGGAGAAAAAGAGAGCAUCACUUUGAUCUCCAUGAAGACCAUUAACACAGAAACUGACACAGACUCCCCCCAGGUCUCCUCCAUUCACAGUACAACACUGGACUAUGAGGAGCAGGAGCUAAACACAGACCUACUGAACAAUAAGCUGGUGUGAAAAUAAAGACCCUAGAUGUUCCGUUCCAAAACACAGAAAUCACCAAACUACUCAAACAAAAUAGUACAGUGAUUGUUCUAUACAUCUGAGAUCAAGUUACCUGGAGUCCACACAGGACCUGAAUUCAUACCUGUGGGGAUAUUAUACAUUAAGCUAGAACUAGGCCUAUCGUUGUGUCUCAUGUUGCCAUUCUAAUACAAAUAUCACAUGUAUUUGUGUGAUGAUAUCAAAACUGCCUUUAUGGAG